This 1151-nucleotide unclassified non-coding RNA is filed under the name Leishmania donovani. RNAcentral describes it as "gene:LdHU3.32.0730(CDS-product:hypothetical_prote in_conserved)". The record is from RNAcentral. Lineage: Eukaryota; Euglenozoa; Kinetoplastea; Trypanosomatida; Trypanosomatidae.
AGACUCAGAACGGGACAAAAAUAUCGCGCAGAGAGUGUCAGCGCAUACCGGGCGCUGCCGUCUUCUUUGUUGCGCAUUCUUUGCGCCUGUUGACCCGCGAUCGGGGGAGGGGUUGUCACGGUGCCUCAUCGACUGAUAUCGUCCUCUGCUCAGUUGGCAACGGCCUUAGGGAAGAAAGUGAGCGCCGAAAGAGAAACGCCGCACGUACAAGUGUGCACACAAGCGACUCGCACUUCUCCUCCCGCUCCCAUCCUCAAGGAUGGGCGGAAAGACCGCAUUUGAUGAUGUCUGCGCUAACGAGGCGAAGGCGUGGAGCAUCUGCCUAGAGACCAACUUGGGCGGCAAAGAUGUUCGCAAGAAGUGCAGCGUGCAGCAGCAGACGUUCGACACGUGCGUUUCGGCGUGGCGGGCCAAGGUUGGACAGGCCGUUCAGGUGAAGGGGGAGAACGAAGGGGAUCCGCCUUUCCAGUGUGCUUCCAUGUCCUGCCACAUUGGAGAGUGCUUGCGCAAGUACAACUACGACUUUGAUCGGUGCAAGCCGCACACCCAGUUCUUCAAGUACUGCGUCAAGAGCUUCUACGGCCAGGACUACAUUUCGUAAAGCGCUAGUGGUGAAUGUGGAAGCGACCGCGAUGUGCGCUUCCGUGAGUAGUCCACGAAGGACUUGCCUUCCCUUUUAGAGACUCUCCUUUCUCCACUUUCUGCCGUGACAAGUCCACGCUCCUUGUCGGCUGUAUGUUGUUUUUCUUGCUGCUUAGCGUGGCUCAUUUUCAAGAGACGGAAAGAGCCGUUCCCAGUGGUGCUUUCCCCAGGCGCUUUUCGUGUGCCUCUUACAGUGCGUUUGGUUGGGUUUACCGCUUUACAACAACAAUAUAAGCGUGCCAAAUGACGACGACGCGGAGUUCACGUGGCGAGGCCCAGAGCGAUGCGAUCGAUGAUGGCACUUGAUGCACCACACAAGCUCACGGCCAGCCUGAGGGCAGUUCUUUCGCUGUCUUCUAGCGAACAGGGCUGCUUGAACGUACACGUACAUGACGGGCGAUCUUCUUCGUUUCUGUCUUCGCCUUUUCUCUCUCGCUCAUGUGUGGAUCCGCUCCACUCGACAUACACAGCUCGGCUCUCUCUCUUUCUCACCACUACCUUUGGACAAG